GACGGCUGGGAGAAGAGUGGUGAAGAAGAGUAUUGAUUUUGCUGUUCACCACUUCCUUUUCUGCAG
RNAcentral lists this microRNA precursor (66 nucleotides) under Aotus nancymaae (Ma's night monkey). Its description in RNAcentral is "miRNA (ENSANAG00000011270.1)". The record is from RNAcentral. Lineage: Eukaryota; Metazoa; Chordata; Mammalia; Primates; Aotidae.